Molecule: long non-coding RNA, 6934 nt
Filed under: Sus scrofa (pig)
Lineage: Eukaryota; Metazoa; Chordata; Mammalia; Artiodactyla; Suidae
Description: lncRNA (ENSSSCG00015046480.1)
Source: RNAcentral
AACUCUCCUGAAUCUAAACUCGUUAAAUACAAUGCAAGAGAAGGCUCUUUGACACUUAACAUAACAAUGAAAAAUGCUGAAGUAACCAAGGCUGAAUCUAAGCAAUGUUGCAAGUCAACAUGUAAAUUGAUUCUGAAACACUUGAAAGCCUUAAAUGCAAAGGUAAUACCAUCUUCUUGCAUAAACUGAACUUCAUAAAGAUGUCAAAUCUCCCCUAGUGAAAUAUCCCUGUGUGUAAUUCCACUUACAUGCUACAAAGAUAAUUUGUUACUAGUAACUGUAUUCAUCAGAACAAGUGAAUCAAAGAUUAAAUGUUAAAUUUGACUUAAUUCUUUAGAGCAAAAGUCAACAGACCAAAAUCCGAAGAUAAGUGGGGGGAAAAAAGUUGUGCCUCCUGUGACGUAGAAUGACUUUCUAGAAACUGAUACGUAAAAGAAUAGAAAAACGGGCAAGGAAACGUAUGCUUGACAUGAAUGGGAAUCAGGGCAAAUUCACUUCUUUGACGAUGUUCAGCUCUGGGAACUUUACUUGCAACUGCAUAAAACGAUAUAUAGGCAAGACUAUUCAUUACAUCUUUUGAAGUCAAAGUUCGCAACGACCUGUAAGGGGCUAACUAAAUCGUGUAGCUGCAAAAUGUGUUACGGUUAUCAGUUGCUAUGUAACAACCUCAAAAUAUAGAAGUUAAAACACUGUAUUCUCUCCCUCUCUGGCCCAUGCCAUGGGGUGAUGGAGCUCAGCUGGGCGCUUAGGAAUUCUCAGGGCGAAACAGAUAAUAGUUGAUACCAAUCAUCUGAAGUCCCUACUGUCGUCAUUGGCUAUGUCUGGGGUGUGAGCUAGAAUGGAAGUAGCUGGGGACCCUCUAAGAAUCUCUCUGCAAGGUCUCUCUACAUGUACUGCUUUGGGCUACCUCCUAGAGUGGAGGCUUCCUGAACCUCAGACCUCCCUCCAAGCACCUGCCCCCCCCGGGGGGGGCGGGGGGUUGGCAGGAGGUGAGAACAGACCGUUUCUUCACCCCUGCAAGCCAAGCCUCGCUUGCUCUGUACUGUUGGCCAAACCAAGUCACAAAGGUCACCACACGGUGAAGAAUCCAUCCACCUCUCAAUGGGCAGAGGAGUGCAUGGAAUUUGGGCCGUUCUUAAUGUGCCACGUAAACAUGCAAUUGUGAAAAAUGAGGAUACUCCCUAUUACAUGGGGAGAAACUCGAAUUCUAUUAGGUUAAAAAGGCUUUACACUGGUUUCCACUAAGCUUAUCUUCUGAGUAACACAGGAAGUGGGGAAAUAGAAACAUGUGUUGACUUUAAAUAUAAAACAAGCAAAAAUGACACAAGCGAUGAGUGUACAGGUGCAGACAUACCAUAAUUUACACCUUUUUUGAUCUUUAAGGUGAAUUGAAGAAAAAAUACUUGAAUCUUUUAAAAAAGCAGUUCUGAGGUUGCUCAACCGCGCUCCUUUGCUCAGCGCUGGAGCUGCUUGGGAAGUAAUAGUCCUAUUUGUUAGAACCCUACGGGUUUCCAAGGAAUCUCUAGAUUUUACCUCCACAAUAAGAGAAAUCAACCCCAAAAAACCAGUCCAACCAGAAAACCAUGUACAGCUGAUGGCCCCCACUGGUAAUACAGCCUACGAAUUAACUCGUUAGCACUGGCCUGAGGCUAUGGACAGGGUUCACCCCCCCACACACCCCUUCUGGUCCCCACCCAUCAUUGUCAAACACAAACUGCUAUUUAAAAUGCAAUUUAAAGUGUUAAAUUUCAGAGAGGCUAGCCAGCAUUGUGCUGACUCAUGAAUAGAAUUGUUAAAUAUUUGGGAGUGUCGCAGGCCAUUCGUGAAGCCAUUGGUAGCUUAAAAUGAACAUAGUGGCUGAUAAAUUGAGGUUGCCCUGAGUGAUAAACACUGGGACACACGGUAGAGAAGGAAUCUCAGAUGCUUCUUGCUUUAUUCCAGGUGAUCAGUGGCACCUGAAAGUAGUAUUGGCCCCAUCAGUGAGAUGGGGUUUCCACUUGUUGCCUAUUUCUCUAAGAAGCCAUACAGCGGUAUAAGGGUUUUGUAACAGUUAACACUGAUGGCACCGCUAAUGGGCAAGGCACUGCCUGCUUUGGGAACGUCAUCUCACUAAUUGUAGCUUUUUGGGGAAGGCACUGUGAGCUUGGCCUUGACAGAAAAUUGAGUCAGAAAUAGAUGACGAUUUGUACCCGCCACUGAGCUGCAGAGCCAGCCUCCAAACCCGGUGGCUCAGCUCCAGUGCCCAGUCUCGUGUAAACAGCUUGCUGGAAAUGCACUGCAUCAUGAGGAUAAAACCAACCACAUGAAGGAGGAAAAGUCGCCCAAAACUCUAGUUCCCCAAGAUGGCCAUUAUUAAGGUUUUGAUGUAAGUCAGCGGCUGUGUUUUCACCUCAACCCAUCUGAGGACUGUGGCUCAGUCUGAAGAUUUUCUCAAGGGUAUGGCGAUGGGAAUCUGAGAAAUCCCACGUGGUUUUCAUGUGGUCUGCCCACUGUCCCCUCUUAAUACAGGAGGUGGCUUUUCAAAGUUCCUGCUGCCCAUGGUCAAGUGGAGAGAAGUUUGGUGCUUUAUUGGAGUGGUUCUUGGGCCCUUUCCUGCCCUGUGGCAUCCCUGCUGACGUAUCCACACCUCAUUGGCCGGCAACUUGCUUUACUUGGCCUAAAACGCUUAGGCGUUAGGGAGCUAGGGUCAGAGUCACAGGCACAAUCUGCUCUCUGAGGGCCUGGUUAAUAGUCAAAUACCAAACACAUCUUUCUGGAAGCAUUGGGUCAAAAUCAAUUGAUUAUGCCGACCACCGUUGACUUCAAAAAAGCGCGAUCCUAAGAUUACAGUAUUUUCAAGUAAAUGUGGUAAAAGAGGGGGAAAGUAGAAGCCAUUCCUUUUUAAUCAGAGGGUGUUUUUAAAAUCUUUUUUCUAUCGUAAGUUGAUGGCCACAAAGAUUGUUGUGUGGUUUGCUAAGCGUGAUUCUGUUUUGAGGAGGUUAAACUGACUACUGGCUCUAUUUCUGAUGCUCAUUACUGGUCACGGUCAAAUGAGUUGACAGCUCAGGUUUAAUGAAUUAUCUCUGCAAAUUUGGGCAUCUUGAACUUUGCAAAAUGACAUUUGUUGAAUCUAGGCAAGUGUUAGAAAUUUCUCAAACCGACUUUUCUUUUGACCAAAUGCUUAAUUUAAAACUUUGUGGAAUCAUAACUUUAUUUUGUGGAAUGGAUAUGGUAGGCCAGUAACUGACCAUGGACAUUGGCCAGUUGAAUCACGUUAGCUAUGACUUGUAUUUUCAGGCUAUUAACCUCCAUUUUCAGUUCUUGACCUAAAAUUUUUUAUACAGUCCUGAUUUUUAAUUGGUUUUCCCACUUUGUCCACUGACUUUUCAUCUGAGUCAUUAAUGCUCAGCCUCUACGGAACGAGGCCUUGCUGUGAUGGCAGGUGACUCUGCCUGGCCCAUUGCGUGCGUGGGAUAUGGUUGAGUAGUCCAUUCUUAAGUCUCCUUUGUGCUUGUCACUUAGGUUUUCAGUCCUUUUUAACUCGGGUUUUUUGUUUUUGUCUUUUUGCUAUCUCUUUGGGCUAGGGGUCGAAUCGGAGCUGUAGCCCCCAGCCUAUGCCAGAGCCACAGCAAUGCAGGAUCUGAGCCGUGUCUGCAACCUACACCACAGCUCAGGGCAGCGCCAGAUCCUUAACCCACUGAGCAAGGCCAGGGAUUGAACCCACAACCUCAUGGUUCCCAGUCGGAUUCGUUAACCACUGUGCCACGACAGGAACUCCUUAACUCAGGUUUUUAUUGAAGAAACAUGAAUAACACUUUGCUUCAAUACAAAUUUAACACUUUGAAACGGAACGGGUUCAAUAGAGAUGGGAAAAAGUCCAAAUAAUUUUUCCAUGUGCAGAAACUUUUUUUUCCUAACAUAAGACAAAGCUGAUGCUCUAAAAGCUUUUGACUCUCCUGAAGGUUUCCGGCCCUUGAAUAAGAUCAAACGAGUCGUGAUGGGACAGGGCUCCGCUUGCCAAGCUGCUGGUGGAUGUUUUCCUCGGCCCUGCUUUGGUUGGGGUAUUCUCUGCGGGAGGGGGGCCUCAGGGACCCUACACAUGAGCAGUUUUUGAGACCGCAUUAGUGAUGCCUACAUAGACCUAUGAUCAUUUGCUGAAAUUUUCUAAGAAAAAUCUCUUCUCUUUUUCUCAGUUCCAAGUGGAACCAGCUUUUGUCUAGUCCAAGGGAGUGAUGUCCAGAGUUAUGGACCAAAGCCUGCUCUGGGGUCCUCUUCCAUGAGAGAGAAGAGCAACGGCCAGGAUUUGGGAGCGCUUUUUGGUGGUAUAGAUGGAUUUCAAUCCAGUUUGGGACACAUCAAGUAAACCUUGCGUGUUUCAGGCGCCAAAUGAACCAUUUGAUUAAACAACUGGGUAUUGGCGGCAGGGCGGGGGGCGGAAUUCAGUCCUAAGCCUUUAUUUCACGUUUCUCCUGUCCACUCUAACCCUAUGCAUCUGACGUAGGUGCUUUCUAAGGGUGCUUUGAGUAUCUCCCUGUUGAAACAGUAGGAGGGUACAACCUAGCGGCUGAGCACUAAGCCCAGAGUUGGGUGGGGGCCAGACCUGAAGCCCAGUUUUUCCACUUAACCUCUGUGCUCAUUUUCGCAUCUGUAAAGUGUGGGUAGUCACGGCACUUACGAGGCUAGAGCCUGUGGCUGGCGCCUGGCACAUAGAUACUGGACCAGUGGCAGCCACGGUAAUAUCACCACCCGAGUUGCCAGCUGAGCGCCUCUGUGUUCAACACAGAAUGACCAGAAGCUGCUCCGCAGUGGGCACCAGGCUGUGACCAACCCCUCUUCUGGAGCCCUCUGUAUGGGGGAAGCGAAACAGGAGAAAAUGCCCUGCGUUUGAAAAAGACGCUUUGCAGUGGGAAACGGGAAAGCACGCGCAGAGUGGCGCCCACCUCUUUGCACACCGAUGGGUUUUCCGAUGCCUCUUUUUUGCUUUUUCAAGGAUGAGUUAAGCAGUUCGUUGACAUAUCAUUAUCACAUUUUGAAGUUAAACAGCCACAGGAUCUAUGAACUCUCAUCACGCAGUUAAUUAUUCCUGGAUUUCUCUGAGCUCUUGAAACAUACUCUAUUUAUUUAACCAUCCCCUGGGAGCGCUGGCUGCCUUUGUCCCUGUGACACCGCCAGUGGUGUCAAACCUCUGCCUCUGUCAGGUUUCUCCAUGUGGAGCGUAAUUGCCUGAUUUCCAUUUGAAAGUACAGCCCUGACAUUACAACCACAGAGACCCACCAAUGAGCACAAUGCUGUCCUGACACCUACAAGGGGACGGGGGCGAGGGGGGGCCUGGUGCCAUAAUAAAUGUGCUCCAGAUGAAUGCUCGCCUUCAGAGGGACCAGGUCUGAGUUUACAGCUGCAGAUGAAGUGUUCCUCGAGAACAAAAAACAGAAUAAAGAAAAAGAAAGCAAUAGAUUAGCAUCAGCAUGAGUCUGGUGGGGCCAGAUGGCUCUGUGGAAGCGGCGCUUUGCCGCUUUCUCCCAGUCACUCUGACCGGCAGACAGCGAGUGUGCUCAGGGGGGAGAAAAAUGAUCUCAUGCCUCAGCCGGGCACGUGAUUCGCCUCUUUCUCUCACAGCUCAAGCUGCAGGGAAGCUGGAAAAGAAGGGGCGAAGGGGCCGGGGAAGUCACGUUGUCCUAAAGAAAAAGCUGGCUGGGCGACACACCGCCCUUGGCCGGGCUGGUGACGGGAAAGCCAGGCUUGGAUGCCCACGAGGCGGGGAACCACACCUGGGGGGGAGGGGCAGAUGGCAGGGACAGGACGCCUGGCGCCUGUCAGUCCCCACUUACAGCCACCGACUUCUCUACAGCAGCUGGGAGCAUAAGAGACUGGGAGGGGGUUGCAGAAGCCCUGGAUUAAGCUAGCUCUGCCCUCUUGGAAGGACGGUGUGUUCAAAUUCUUAGUAAUGAAAAUCGCCACCUCUCUUCCUGGGCUGGAGGCCAGACCGAGUCUGUAAUCAUCCUUGGGCCUCUGGGCCAGGUCCGGAGCCGGAGCAGCCAUCUGCUUGAGCCCAGUCUGCCGUGCCCCCUGGGGACGGGGCAGGGUUACCUGGACCUAACAGGUUGGAGGUGUAGGCGGGGUCAGCCCGGAGGCACGCCGCCCUCCCUGCUGAGGAGUUGCUGCUCAUAAACAAAAUCUAAUCUGGGAGUGAUGGCAAGACACUCAGCUGAUGGAUAUGGGGCAGGCCACCAGAUGUUGGUGUCGGCGCCCAGCACUGGCAGAGGCCCACAGGCUGCAGGGCCCCAUGAGCCAAUAUGCCCUCUGAGCAAGUGUCCACACACCCCAGCUUGGCACGGAGGCUCCUGGGAACUCCAACCCAGAAGGGUGCGACCAGGAGAGAAUGGUGCCUUGGGCAUGCUGGGCUCUUGGAGCACGUUGUCCGCCUGGCGAGGUCUCCCCAGGCACCUGACAUUGGUCUCCCCAGUGUUUACGCCAAAGAAUAAAAAGCAGGCUCCAGGGUGGGAGGGAGGAGGGGAGGCGCCAAAAUGCAGGGUGUGGGCCUUCCGUUCCAGCUGGAAAAGCAGAGGCGAUCAUGAUGAUCAUGCAGCGAAACCCUCUCUGUUGUCAACCAGGGGCCGGGGCACCUGCUCCACUGUUGCUGGAGAUCUCAGAGCUGGGCACUAACUGGCGUAUUCCGGUGGGGCCAAAGAAGCAAAGCAAAGUGCCAGCUAGGGCUGCCGGCUCCUGCUUUUCUCCUUCCAAAAACAAAAAGCCAUGGCACCCAGCCACAUUCUGCCCUUCAUCUCUCGGGCAGUACCACCACCGAACAGUGUUCAGUUCUGGGUUGGCUUCUCGCCCUCAAAACUGAGCUACAAGAUUUGUGGGUAGGGGGGAGACAGCACACAGGGACCAUCACAAGAAGCGUGAACUGGGUAAUUUUCCUUGGCCCCACUUUGGCCAGGAAGGUCACGAUUAU